RNAcentral lists this ribosomal RNA (73 nucleotides) under Geranium palmatum. RNAcentral's name for it is "23S ribosomal RNA". The record is from RNAcentral. Lineage: Eukaryota; Viridiplantae; Streptophyta; Magnoliopsida; Geraniales; Geraniaceae.
UUCAAACAAAGAAAGCCUUAUGGUGCUAGGCACCGAGAGACGAGGAAGGUCAUAGUAAGCGCCGAAAUGCUUC